This 3849-nucleotide long non-coding RNA is filed under the name Mytilus galloprovincialis (Mediterranean mussel). Lineage: Eukaryota; Metazoa; Mollusca; Bivalvia; Mytilida; Mytilidae. The record is from RNAcentral.
GUCAUAUACACAUAUAUAUAUAUUAGCUCUGUACGGAUAAAAUCAAGUUAUCACUAUUAAGGAACUUGAAGAAAGAGGAGGGCGAAAAUGAACAGCAGAUUGAUUCCAGCUCUUUUCUUGUGUAUGUUGUUUCUUAAUACACACCAGAUAGUAAAUGGUAUGUACUUAAUAUAAUUUAAAAAAAAAUGUUUUCAUUUUAAUACUACCGUUUUAAAGACAUACUUCUUGAUUAGUAUCAAAUUUAAUAAAAAUCAAAUUUGAUAUUUAUGAAUGAGAUGUGAUGUAAACGUCACAAUGCAAAAUUGAUUUGUAUCAUUGUGAUUAGUUAAGCACUUUCAAUUGGUGUUAUAGUUUGUUCAAUGCCAAUGGUUAAGGGUUGGGUAGGUGUCCGCUAACUUAAUUAACUUUGCCCCAAUUCUGUAUGUGUCUUCUCAAUUCUGAAGCCUGUAAUUUAGAGAUUGUCGUUUAUUUCUAUAUAUUUGCUUUUGGUUCAUUAAUUUGUACAUAAUUCAGGACUUUAGUUUUCUCGUUUGUUUUGUUUUUACAUUUGUCAUUUCGGGGCCAUUUUUAUAACUGAAUAAGCGGUAUUGGUUUUACUCAUUUGGGAAGGCAGUACUGUAACAUAUAGUGGUUAAUGUCUGUGUCAUUUGGGCUCUUGUGAAGAGUUGUCUCAUUGACAAUCAUACCACAUCUUCUUAUUUCUAUAUAAUAACAUCAGAAAAGAAAAUCGGAAAAUUUAUAAGAAAAAAAUUACCAUUAGUUCAUGGUUUAAGUAAGUUUGAUCAAGUGUUGACACAUAGAAUGUUAAAGAUCUGUAAUUUGCAAUAUAAAAAUCCCUUCCUCAUUCUAAGCCCCUAGUCCUAUUUUUUAUGUUCUGUUCAAUAAAUAGUGUUUUGUUGUCAGUGAUCUUGGGUUUUCUUUUUGUCACAAGUUAUUUGUUUGAAUUCGAUAGAUGAUUUUUUGUUGGCCGCUGUGUGUCGUCGUUCUCCUUUUUUGUUAUGGGAUUUUCAAAGACACAUGGAAAGUGUGGACGUAAAAAAAUGUUUUUAAAAUGCAGCCUUGAAUCAAAGUUGAUAUAUAUAUAUUUGUUUUAGUUUGACACGGGUAGUAAGAAAAAAAAAGUCGGUUAUACAUUUUGAUAAAAAAAAUUUCCAUAAAUACUAUUUUUUACCUGAUUAAAUCAAAUAUGCAAUAAAAAAUAAACCUUCAUGUGCUACUUUUUGAGUAAAAAGAGGUCGAAAUUUUGUAUAUUUGCUCAAAAGUAGGAUUUGUGGCCGUAUUUUCCCUUUCGAAAGAAAGACAUAACUUUUUUGUUUUAAAAGAUAAACACAAUUUCUUUUUUAUUUUAAAAGAUAAACCCAAUUUCUUUUUUUGUUAAAUAAUUUGUAAUUUCUGUAUUUUAUAAGAAUCCUUAAAAUUCAUACAUUUUUUUUAUCAGAAAUAACUCAUAUUUAUCGAAUGUUCAUGAAUGUAGAAAAAAACAUCAUUUUUUGCUGUAUAUUUAUCAAAUUUAAGAAAAUGCACUAUUUACGUUACGUGCAUCAUGAAAUUUGGCACACAUAAUCUUCUCCCGUAAUCAAACCAAAUGGCAUUUUUCAAAAAGAGGGGUCAAUGAACUCGUUUUCAAGUUAAAUAAGUUUGAAUGAUAAAAAUCAGUCGAAAACUGAAUCUUUUCCCGAUAAUAAAAUUAACGGUACCAAUUUUCUUGCACCAGAUGCGCAUUUCGACAAUACAUGUCUCUUCAGUGAUGCUGGAGUUUGACGUAGCGAAAAUAACAAUUUACGUUAGCAACAUCAUUACCUCCCCUAUAACUGUAUCGUAUACCCUUAAUGUAAUAGCCCAUGAAAAUGUUGACUCUAGCCAUAGUUACAAUUAGAAAAGAUGUUUAUGACUGAAAGUAUCAACGAGCCAUUUAUAAAUCAAGCAAUUUUCUUUCGAUAUGAUCUGAUUAUUGGUUCAGUCGUAGUGUAGCAAGUCCUUACAUAAUGCAAACUUUGCUUACUUCAGUUAACCUUUGAGAUAUAAAUGAAAUAUUUAAGUUAUGAGUAAAAUCUCUUUUUUUAUUGAAAGUAUUACAUAUAGCUAUUAUAGUAAAUAAACGAUAUGCUAUUUUACAUGAAUACAUUUAAAAUAUCGGUGAUCGACGUUACUAUCAUUUUCAGGUUCUGUUAUACCAGUUCAAGAUGGUACCAAUCCAAACACCUGUGUAUGUUCAACGGGAUUAGUUUGUGACGAGGCAACCAACAUGUGCAUUGAAGGCAAGACAAUUUCGUUUAUCUAAUAAUUAAUAAACAUCAUUUCAUUUUUACUUGACAUUGUCAAGUCUAAACUAAAUGCUGAUUUGUUUAAAUGUAUAACAAAGUUUAAACAGUAGAUAGAGUAUGAUGAGCAAUCAGUGUUAAACAUCGGCUUACAGCAUUAACGGUAACAAAUUAUAUUGCAACAGAUGUGCACUUCGAAAAGUCAUAUCUUUUCAGUGAUGGUCGAGGUUAACGUGCGAAUCAUUUUGUUAAAUGUGUGACUAAACAAUUUAAAAUUCGAUAUAUUUCGGUUGUAACAAAAUCAUAUAAAUUGUGUUUUUUUUUUCUUUUCAUUUGUUUGCUUGCACAAGUAAAAUGAGUUUGUAGUCUUAGAUGAUCGUUUUGAUUUUAACAUCAUCUGAACAAAUAUGUUUUAGUCGUGUUCAGUCAUUCAGUCCAUAUUCAUGCUCGUGUUUAUGUGACGUUUUGAGCAAAUUAUUAAGUCAGGGAUUUCGUUAUAACAAAUAACUUUUAAAAAACUUACUAAAUUUUUCCAUCGAUACAAAGAUAUGAUUUGUAAGUUAAGCUGUACCUUAUUUCAAACGAGAUAGCAUAUCCUUAUUCUAACGGAGAUGUUGUUACAAAGCCCGGAUUCAGAUACCAUCCGGGUAAACUAAUCAAUCCUCUCAAUAAACUUAUUCUAAAAAAUUACCAAAUUCAACACUGUAAUUAGAUAUGAAAAUACUGUUUUUAUUGGUAUAAAUAUUGAUUUUGUAAAUUAAAACCAACAUUUUAUUAUUGUUAUAAACAUACAAAUAUGCACAUUCACGGUUCUACAAUAUGUAGAUAUAUGCUUUUAAACAUCUCAACUAUGUUCCACCACGCCACAUUCUGUAUGUGCCUUUGUCAAUUCGGGAAACUAUAAUACAAUGGUUGUCGUGUUUUCUAAAUAUCAUAUUUGUAUUUUUUUUCAUUGUUGUUUUUUUACAUAAUCCAGGCCGUUAAUUUUCUCGUUUGAAUUGUUUUACAUUUGUCAUUUCGGGGCCUUGUAUAGUUGAAUAUGCGGUAUGGUUUUUGCCCGUUGUUGAAAGUCGUACAGGGAACUAUAGUUGGUUUCUAAUGUCAUUUGGUAAUUAUACCACAUCCGCGGAUUUUUUUCAUUAUCCACUGCGGUAAAUUAGAUAAAGUUUAGACUUAGCUACUUUCAUUUAAAAAAUAUGUUUGUAUGUCUUACCGUAAAAAUAUUUUUGUGAACAUUACAUUGCAAAUCGCUUCAGCUUGCCGGUCUAGCACAAAGACGGGUUAAUGGUCAUAAUAAUGUUAUCUCGUAAUGAUAAUUAUGCAUGUUAUACGAUAUUGUGUUAUGUUGUUGCUUACGAUAUUGAAUAUAAUAUAUAUUCUGCUGCAGUAUUUCCAUGAAACAUACUUUUAAUUUUAUUUCUUGAUAAUAAUAUUUACACAAUUGUAGAUGACGACAGUUCACAUCAUAAUCCUGGGAUGCCAAUAGGGUAAUAUUUGGAUGGAUGACAAACAAAAUGCAAAUACAACGUACAAGCGUUAAUUACAAAAAGAAACAUUUACAAUAAACAAUAAACAUAUUUGUUUUUCG